This 505-nucleotide ribosomal RNA is filed under the name uncultured bacterium. Its description in RNAcentral is "bacterial SSU rRNA". It matches the Rfam family "Bacterial small subunit ribosomal RNA", at positions 414 to 920 of the family's 1533-position model. The record is from RNAcentral.
CCCUAUGGGUUGUAAACUUCUUUUGUUUGGGAAGAAAUCUGGUCAUUUAUGAGCAGUUGACGGUACCUUACGAAUAAGCACCGGCUAACUCCGUGCCAGCAGCCGCGGUAAUACGGAGGGUGCAAGCGUUAUCCGGAAUCACUGGGUUUAAAGGGUGCGUAGGCGGUUUGAUAAGUCAGAGGUGAAAGCUAGCAGCUUAACUGUUAAAUUGCCUUUGAUACUGUCAGACUUGAAUCAAGUUGAGGUAGGCGGAAUGUGACAUGUAGCGGUGAAAUGCAUAGAUAUGUCAUAGAACACCAAUUGCGUAGGCAGCUUGCUGGGCUUGAAUUGACGCUGAGGCACGAAAGCGUGGGGAUCAAACAGGAUUAGAUACCCUGGUAGUCCACGCCCUAAACGAUGUUAACUCGAUAUUUAUUCUUCGGAGUGAGUGUCCAAGCGAAAGCGUUAAGUUAACCACCUGGGGAGUACGUUCGCAAGAAUGAAACUCAAAGGAAUUGACGGGGGU